GUACUGAUGAAGAGUCGCAAACUAGGAUGAAACAGCUGUCCAGUAC
Trichobilharzia regenti is the source of this 46-nucleotide non-coding RNA. The record is from Rfam. Lineage: Eukaryota; Metazoa; Platyhelminthes; Trematoda; Strigeidida; Schistosomatidae.